UGGCUGAGUCGGUUAGAGCGUGGUGCUGAUAACACCAAGGUCGCAGGUUCAAUCCCUGC
This 59-nucleotide transfer RNA is filed under the name Apaloderma vittatum (bar-tailed trogon). It matches the Rfam family "tRNA", at positions 8 to 63 of the family's 71-position model. Rfam says of the family: Transfer RNA (tRNA) molecules are approximately 80 nucleotides in length. Lineage: Eukaryota; Metazoa; Chordata; Aves; Trogoniformes; Trogonidae. The record is from Rfam by way of RNAcentral.